GGGGAAUUUUCCGCAAUGGGCGAAAGCCUGACGGAGCAAUACCGCGUGAGGGAAGACUGCCUAUGGGUUGUAACCCUCUUUUUUCAGGGAGGAAUAAAUGACGUGUACCUGAAGAAUAAGCAUCGGCUAACUC
RNAcentral lists this ribosomal RNA (133 nucleotides) under uncultured bacterium. Its description in RNAcentral is "partial 16S ribosomal RNA". It matches the Rfam family "Bacterial small subunit ribosomal RNA", at positions 356 to 503 of the family's 1533-position model. The record is from RNAcentral.